Molecule: non-coding RNA, 71 nt
Organism: Paramuricea clavata
Lineage: Eukaryota; Metazoa; Cnidaria; Anthozoa; Malacalcyonacea; Plexauridae
Source: the annotation of a GenBank genome assembly
GGGAGUGUAGCUCAGUGGCAGAGCAUUCGACUGCAGUCGAGAGGUCGGUGGUUCAUAUCCGCCCGCUCCUU